AAAUUGAAGAGUUUGAUCAUGGCUCAGAUUGAACGCUGGCGGCAGGCCUAACACAUGCAAGUCGAACGGUAACAGGAAGCAGCUUGCUGCUUUGCUGACGAGUGGCGGACGGGUGAGUAAUGUCUGGGAAACUGCCUGAUGGAGGGGGAUAACUACUGGAAACGGUGGCUAAUACCGCAUAACGUCGCAAGACCAAAGAGGGGGACCUUCGGGCCUCUUGCCAUCAGAUGUGCCCAGAUGGGAUUAGCUUGUUGGUGAGGUAACGGCUCACCAAGGCGACGAUCCCUAGCUGGUCUGAGAGGAUGACCAGCCACACUGGAACUGAGACACGGUCCAGACUCCUACGGGAGGCAGCAGUGGGGAAUAUUGCACAAUGGGCGCAAGCCUGAUGCAGCCAUGCCGCGUGUAUGAAGAAGGCCUUCGGGUUGUAAAGUACUUUCAGCGGGGAGGAAGGUGUUGCGGUUAAUAACCGCAGCAAUUGACGUUACCCGCAGAAGAAGCACCGGCUAACUCCGUGCCAGCAGCCGCGGUAAUACGGAGGGUGCAAGCGUUAAUCGGAAUUACUGGGCGUAAAGCGCACGCAGGCGGUCUGUCAAGUCGGAUGUGAAAUCCCCGGGCUCAACCUGGGAACUGCAUUCGAAACUGGCAGGCUUGAGUCUUGUAGAGGGGGGUAGAAUUCCAGGUGUAGCGGUGAAAUGCGUAGAGAUCUGGAGGAAUACCGGUGGCGAAGGCGGCCCCCUGGACAAAGACUGACGCUCAGGUGCGAAAGCGUGGGGAGCAAACAGGAUUAGAUACCCUGGUAGUCCACGCCGUAAACGAUGUCUACUUGGAGGUUGUGCCCUUGAGGCGUGGCUUCCGGAGCUAACGCGUUAAGUAGACCGCCUGGGGAGUACGGCCGCAAGGUUAAAACUCAAAUGAAUUGACGGGGGCCCGCACAAGCGGUGGAGCAUGUGGUUUAAUUCGAUGCAACGCGAAGAACCUUACCUGGUCUUGACAUCCACAGAACUUUCCAGAGAUGGAUUGGUGCCUUCGGGAAC
Molecule: ribosomal RNA, 1037 nt
Filed under: Salmonella enterica
Lineage: Bacteria; Pseudomonadati; Pseudomonadota; Gammaproteobacteria; Enterobacterales; Enterobacteriaceae
Description: bacterial SSU rRNA
Rfam family: Bacterial small subunit ribosomal RNA
Source: RNAcentral